GUCUACGCUGUAAACGAUGGAUACUAGCAUUCGGAGGUGUCGACCCCUUCGGUAGCGAAGCUAACGCGUUAAGUAUCCCGCCUGUGUAGUACGAGCGCAAGCUUAAAACAUAAAGGAAUUGACGGGGACCCGCACAAGCGGUGGAGCGUGUUCUUUAAUUCGAGGCUAAGCGAAGAACCUUACCAGGGCUUGAAAUCCUGCGAAAAGUUUGCGAAAAGCAGACCGUGCCUUCGGGAACGCAGUGACAGGUGUUGCAUGGCCGUCGU
RNAcentral lists this ribosomal RNA (266 nucleotides) under uncultured bacterium. RNAcentral describes it as "partial 16S ribosomal RNA". It matches the Rfam family "Bacterial small subunit ribosomal RNA", at positions 793 to 1055 of the family's 1533-position model. The record is from RNAcentral.